Molecule: ribosomal RNA, 483 nt
Filed under: uncultured bacterium
Lineage: Bacteria
Description: partial 16S ribosomal RNA
Rfam family: Bacterial small subunit ribosomal RNA
Source: RNAcentral
GACGAACGCUGGCGGCGUGCUUAACACAUGCAAGUCGAACGCUGAAGCUCAGCUUUUGUUGGGUGGAUGAGUGGCGAACGGGUGAGUAACACGUGAGUAACCUGCCCCCUUCUUUGGGAUAACGCCCGGAAACGGGUGCUAAUACUGGAUAUUCACUGGUCUUCGCAUGGGGGUUGGUGGAAAGGGUUUUUCUGGUGGGGGAUGGGCUCGCGGCCUAUCAGCUUGUUGGUGGGGUGAUGGCCUACCAAGGCUUUGACGGGUAGCCGGCCUGAGAGGGUGACCGGUCACAUUGGGACUGAGAUACGGCCCAGACUCCUACGGGAGGCAGCAGUGGGGAAUAAUGCACAAUGGGCGCAAGCCUGAUGCAGCGACGCCGCGUGAGGGAUGGAGGCCUUCGGGUUGUGAACCUCUUUCGCUCAUGGUCAAGCCGCAACAAUGGUUGUGGUGAGGGUAGUGGGUAAAGAAGCGCCGGCUAACUACAUG